CUUGAUGUCCUUUGUAUGUUUGAUGAUAUGUUUGUACAUACACAGAGCAGAAAACAACAUUUCCCCAUUGGGGUGAAAAAAGUAAUUAUCUUAUCUUGUGAUGAGGAAAGUAUUGGCUGUAAGGGGUUAGAGAAAAUGUAUUUUCUCAUUUUGAUAUUAUUAUUUGCCAGAAUAAAUGUCGUGAAUAACUGCUUUACCAACUCCAGUCAGCAGAUGGCGAUGUGAGUCUUUCAGUUGAUUUUUUUGUUGUUGUACAUAAUCUAGUGGACGGGACGGGACUCUUCCUAAAAACAAAAUGGCAACUAAGUCAGCCACCUCGGUAGCUUACUAGCCAACAAUAAACUGAUGCAUUGAAAUUCCUUUGAUAAUGUGUAUAUUAAUCUGUGUUUUUAACACAAUUUAAACGUAAUAUGCUUGUUAAAUGUACAACAUUGUUAAGAUUGAUACUGAGCCUAGCACUAGGCUAGUCACUAAUGCUAGCUAGCUAGAUAACAUCCCUGACCAUGAGCUCACUAAACUACUCAUCCCUUGCUGAAGAAGCGGAGGUCUGCUGGACGGAGAAAGAAGCUCUGGGGCUGAACAUUAUCGUGGAAGAAGAAGAGGAGGAUAUUACAGUGAAAGGAGAUGAAGAAGAUGUCAGUAUUAAAAAGGAGGAUGUUACAGUGAAAGAAGAGAAAGAACCGUUUGGAAUGAAAGAGGAAGAGGGAAUAGAGUAUGUAACAGUGGAAGAGGAGAAGGUAGAAGCUUUCAGAAUUAAAGAGGAGGAAGUUACAGUGAAAGAAGAGAAAGAACCGUUUGGAGUGGAAGAGGAGGCUGUUACAGUGGAAGAGGAGGAGAUAGGAGCUUUCAGAAUGGAAGAGGAGGAUAUCAUAUUGAAAGAGGAGGCUGUUACAUUGGAAGAAGAGAAAGAACCGUUUGGAGUGGAAGAGGAGGCUCCCUCAAUAAAAAAGGAGGACAUUGUGGGAGUGAAAGAAAAGGAAGAAUGGGGAGGAGACUGAAGACCUGAUUAACACCAGUGAGUAUGGUCUUUGAAACAGGGGCACAAACUCAGGCAGUUGUUGAACCAAUGUGUGGUUUUUAA
This is a long non-coding RNA of Oncorhynchus tshawytscha (Chinook salmon), 1081 nucleotides long. NCBI's taxonomy places the organism in Eukaryota, Metazoa, Chordata, Actinopteri, Salmoniformes, Salmonidae. The record is from Ensembl.